UAGGGAAUCUUCGGCAAUGGGGGGAACCCUGACCGAGCAACGCCGCGUGAGUGAAGAAGGUUUUCGGAUCGUAAAGCUCUGUUGUUAAGGAAGAACGAGUGUGAGAAUGGAAAGUUCAUACUGUGACGGUACUUAACCAGAAAGGGACGGCUAACUACGUGCCAGCAGCCGCGGUAAUACGUAGGUCCCGAGCGUUGUCCGGAUUUAUUGGGCGUAAAGCGAGCGCAGGCGGUUAGAUAAGUCUGAAGUUAAAGGCAGUGGCUCAACCAUUGUAGGCUUUGGAAACUGUUUAACUUGAGUGCAGAAGGGGAGAGUGGAAUUCCAUGUGUAGCGGUGAAAUGCGUAGAUCUAUGGAGGAACACCGGUAGCGAAAGCGGCUCUCUGGUCUGUAACUGACGCUGAGGCUCGAAAGCGUGGGGAGCGAACAGG
Molecule: ribosomal RNA, 429 nt
Filed under: Bacteroidota bacterium
Lineage: Bacteria; Pseudomonadati; Bacteroidota
Description: Bacteroidetes bacterium partial 16S ribosomal RNA
Rfam family: Bacterial small subunit ribosomal RNA
Source: RNAcentral